ACCUCUCUAUCAUCAUCACCAUGGUAGGCACACACCUCCUCUCCCACUCUUGUUCCCUCCCCAAAACCUUCAAUCACUCAUUCACCAAAAACCCAUUACCCCAAAACUUCAUUCUCCCUCUCAAAUCCAAAUCCACCACCAAACCCAUUGUUCUCAGAGCAGUUCUAUCCAAAACCCCACCAGAAACCACCAAAAUCACUAAUUUUGACCAUUGUUUCAGCAAAUCCGAAGAUGGGUAUCUCCACUGUGAGAAUCUCAAGGUGGCUGAGAUUAUGGAAUCUGUUGAAAAACGACCUUUUUAUCUAUACAGUAAGCCACAGAUUAC
Molecule: long non-coding RNA, 325 nt
Filed under: Medicago truncatula (barrel medic)
Lineage: Eukaryota; Viridiplantae; Streptophyta; Magnoliopsida; Fabales; Fabaceae
Description: long non-coding RNA (MTRU_LNC002891)
Source: RNAcentral